GGAGUGUGGAAAUUUGGCAGCAAAUUGUCAUAUUUUCACGACCUUAAGAAAGUGGAGGCUUGGCUUACUAAUUGCUAUUGCUCUUUCUCCUCCCUAUUUCCAGGAAACUUCACAACCCCCCCCCCCCCCCCACUUUUUUGCCCUUUUCCCAUUUUUCACCUCUUCUUGGUGUGAGUCUUGAUUAAAUUAUUUGAAUCUAAGUGUUCCUUUCAUUUUCUUACCCCAAAAAAAGGCUUCGUCUUUGAGAAAUUUCAGGCAAAGGGGUACAAGAAUUUAUUGGAAUUGCUAAGGAUUUAAUCAUUUAGUAGGUCUGACAUAAUACAAUGGAUUCAUAAUCUUGGACUCCCUUCUUCAAGGCGUUACCAAUCUCGAUCAGAUGCUAAGAUUUAAAGUGGGAUAAUAUAGAUUGGCUUGCUAAGUAUGGAUGGAAUUCUUAAACAAGAUUUCACAUGCAUCCUUUACAAAGUGAGAUGAUCUACAGCGUGAUUUUGAUUCAACAAAGUUUCAUACAAAGUUAUACUGCGGAAUUGCAAUAAGAUUUGUAAUUUUAAGAGAGUACGGUGCAAUCUUUCUCAAGAACAUCAUACGAAGUUUUCCCUACUUUGAUCCGCCGUUACGCAUUGUCGCAAUCAAUGAUGUUGAAGGGAUUGUCAAGAGAAUUGGUUCAGGUAUGUUAAGGCUAUCCCUUCUUUCAUUUUGGCGCGAUCUAUACGAUACAAACGAAAUGAGUAAAUGCACAACUUUCAUAAAUGACUCUAUUCAUAGAAGUAUUAGAGGUGCUUAUGUUCUUGAAUUCUCAUGUGUCUCAUUAUUACAUUUUCUGUUCAUUGGUCUCAGAAAAUACGUAAGUUAAAAAAAGUUUAUUUCACGAUAUUAAUCAAAGGCAUAAUGGUCUUAUGAUGUUCCGAAAGGUUUUAUUGGUGUAUUUCUCAUGUAUUGCAUUCAUUUAUAUAUGUACAUUGACCCAUGACCAAGUUGGCGUUAUAUGCGCGUAUAUAUGUAUAUGGAAUAUGGGAAAAGGUUAUGGCAUUAUAUACGCAUCACCACCUGAUCAGCUGGUAUACGUUGAUGAUUUGCCCACAGUGGCCGAGAUGAUAUGAUGGGAUGCCCUCAGAGGCUUGAUGAUAUUAUGAACGCAUAUACCUAUACAUGAUAUGACAGUUAUAUGCAUAUGCAUGACAUUAUAAUAUUAAAUGAUCCACAGAGCUAUUCAGAUAUACAUGUUUAGUCUUUUACUCUAUAUUUCUCUCAUGUCUAUUGUUUACUGAUUUUUAUUCCUUACAUACUCGGUACAUUAUUUGUACUGACAUCCCUUUUGCCUGGGGACACUGCGUUUCAUGCCUGCAGGUCAUGAUAGACAGCUUAAGAGUCCUCCAAGUAGGCUAUUAGCUCAGCGGAAUGUAUUGGUGCACUCCAUUUGCUCUGGAGUUGCUUAUGUGGUCAAUAUGAUUAGGACAUGUACUGAUUAGUAUGGUGGGGCCCUAUCCCGAUCUUUACGACAUUGAUGUACUCUUAGAGACUUGUAUACAUAUAUCGUGCAUGUG
Molecule: long non-coding RNA, 1544 nt
Filed under: Nicotiana tabacum (common tobacco)
Lineage: Eukaryota; Viridiplantae; Streptophyta; Magnoliopsida; Solanales; Solanaceae
Description: long non-coding RNA (NTAB_LNC018787)
Source: RNAcentral